AUGUUGCGAUGGUCCGUGAACAAUCACAAGCUUAUUUCGGGAGGUCCAAAGGACCCAAGCCAUGGCGGCAAAGGAGAGCAAGAGGAGGCAUCUCCUCCUACCAGCGAGAGACUCAAUAUUUACCACAAGGUCCUGCAAGUCCGCGGGGCACCAAUUGCACCCCAAGGCCUCGCGAACGCAACCCGAAAGGAAUCGAGCCACCAUGCACAAGAAGAAAAUAUAAGUAAAAUCCUCGCCAAUCCCACACAUCAGGCAACAACCAUCUUCCUGGUCAUUCCUCUUCAACACUUCAGAACGCGAUGGGAGGGGGCCAUGGGUGAGCUGCCAAAGGAAGAUCCGAAUCUCGAGUGGGACGCGCAUGGCUCAAACCAUGGCCACCCAACACGGGCCAGUCCCACCCACUAG
This 405-nucleotide ribosomal RNA is filed under the name Triticum aestivum (bread wheat). RNAcentral describes it as "partial small subunit ribosomal RNA". The record is from RNAcentral. Lineage: Eukaryota; Viridiplantae; Streptophyta; Magnoliopsida; Poales; Poaceae.